RNAcentral lists this ribosomal RNA (500 nucleotides) under Pseudomonas sp. Its description in RNAcentral is "bacterial SSU rRNA". It matches the Rfam family "Bacterial small subunit ribosomal RNA", at positions 60 to 555 of the family's 1533-position model. Lineage: Bacteria; Pseudomonadati; Pseudomonadota; Gammaproteobacteria; Pseudomonadales; Pseudomonadaceae. The record is from RNAcentral.
AGUCGAGCGGUAGAGAGAAGCUUGCUUCUCUUGAGAGCGGCGGACGGGUGAGUAAUGCCUAGGAAUCUGCCUGGUAGUGGGGGAUAACGUUCGGAAACGGACGCUAAUACCGCAUACGUCCUACGGGAGAAAGCAGGGGACCUUCGGGCCUUGCGCUAUCAGAUGAGCCUAGGUCGGAUUAGCUAGUUGGUGAGGUAAUGGCUCACCAAGGCGACGAUCCGUAACUGGUCUGAGAGGAUGAUCAGUCACACUGGAACUGAGACACGGUCCAGACUCCUACGGGAGGCAGCAGUGGGGAAUAUUGGACAAUGGGCGAAAGCCUGAUCCAGCCAUGCCGCGUGUGUGAAGAAGGUCUUCGGAUUGUAAAGCACUUUAAGUUGGGAGGAAGGGCAGUUACCUAAUACGUGAUUGUUUUGACGUUACCGACAGAAUAAGCACCGGCUAACUCUGUGCCAGCAGCCGCGGUAAUACAGAGGGUGCAAGCGUUAAUCGGAAUUACU